RNAcentral lists this ribosomal RNA (253 nucleotides) under uncultured bacterium. RNAcentral describes it as "partial 16S ribosomal RNA". It matches the Rfam family "Bacterial small subunit ribosomal RNA", at positions 524 to 776 of the family's 1533-position model. The record is from RNAcentral.
UACGUAGGGGGCAAGCGUUGUCCGGAUUUAUUGGGCGUAAAGAGCGUGUAGGCGGCCAGACAGGUCAGCUGUGAAAACUGGAGGCUCAACCUUCAGAGGUCGACCGAAACCAUCUGGCUAGAGUCCGGGAGAGGAGAGUGGAAUUCCUGGUGUAGCGGUGAAAUGCGCAGAUAUCAGGAAGAACACCCGUGGCGAAAGCGGCUCUCUGGAACGGUACUGACGCUGAGACGCGAAAGCGUGGGGAGCGAACAGG